RNAcentral lists this unclassified non-coding RNA (429 nucleotides) under soil metagenome. Its description in RNAcentral is "partial contains 5.8S ribosomal RNA, internal transcribed spacer 2, and large subunit ribosomal RNA". The stretch from base 1 to 120 matches the Rfam family "5.8S ribosomal RNA", at positions 35 to 154 of the family's 154-position model. The record is from RNAcentral.
GAUGAAGAACGUAGCGAAAUGCGAUACGUAAUGUGAAUUGCAGAAUUCAGUGAAUCAUCGAAUCUUUGAACGCAUAUUGCGCUCUCUGGUAUUCCGGAGAGCAUGCUUGUUUGAGUAUCAGUAAACACCUCAACUCCCUUUUCUUUUUUGAAAUUGGAGCUGGACUUGAGUGAUCCCAACGCUUUCUUCCAAGAAAGUGGCGGGUUGCUUGAAAUGCAGGUGCAGCUGAACUUUUCUCUGAGCUAUAAGCAUAUCUAUUUAGUCUGCCUAAAAAACAGAUUAUUACCUUUGCUGCAGCUAACAUAAAGGAGACUAGUUCUUGUGCUGACUGAUGCGGAUUCACAGAGACAGCUUCGGCUGACUUUGUAAACUCGAUCUCAAAUCAAGUAAGACUACCCGCUGAACUUAAGCAUAUCAAUAAGCGGAGGA